AGGUUCAGAGGUCUCAGAAAGGAACUGAGACCUUUAGCAUGCUCUUUUAGUAGUAGCAAUUCAUGAUAAGCAUAGUGAAAAACAGCAUGCGAAACUAGUAGAAGAACUAGUAGAAGAAACAAAUAAGAACAUGGUAAACAACUUAACAAGAACAUAGUAGAAGAAACAUAGUAGAAGAAUUUGACCGGAACAUGAUAGAAGAAAUUUAACAAUAACACAAUCGGGAAACAUGGUAGAAGAAACACACAAGAGAAAGCAAAAAUCAAAAAGCACACAAGAGAAAAGAAAAUCAGAUAAACACACAAGAGAAAACAAAAUCAGAGAAACAUAACUCAAAAUCCCUAGAUCGGAAAAAUAAAGGUUUUGAAAGCAAUGGUUCUAAAGGAAAUAUAAAAAAUUGUUUUAAAAGUAUAAGGAAAACCUGGAUCUAGAACAGAUCUAAAGAAAUUAGAAGAACCACAAAAGCUAGGUUUUUAGAAGAACCCAAACGGUGAGAAAGACUUGGAUCGUUAUUGAUCUAACUAGGAGGAGUCGAGGCCAGGCUCGAAACAGACAUGGCUUGCCGGAGCAAGGCCGGGGAUGGCCAUAAAACUUGAAUAGAACCAGGUCUGGAUGAAUCUUCUUUGUAUUCAGACCAUGAAACCUCAACGAACAAGUGUGUAGGAACCUUAAAGGGCUAGUGGGUGGUGAAACUAUCAUAGAUUCGGGCUAGGAGGUGGCCGGAGAAGGUGAGUGAGACUCAUCGGAGAUGAAGGGGAGUGGGAAGGUUCUAGAGAGAACCAGAGAUAGAGAGAUAGAGGAUAGGGUCGAUUGAG
RNAcentral lists this long non-coding RNA (815 nucleotides) under Nicotiana benthamiana. RNAcentral describes it as "long non-coding RNA (NBEN_LNC035537)". Lineage: Eukaryota; Viridiplantae; Streptophyta; Magnoliopsida; Solanales; Solanaceae. The record is from RNAcentral.